This 437-nucleotide ribosomal RNA is filed under the name uncultured bacterium. RNAcentral's name for it is "partial 16S ribosomal RNA". It matches the Rfam family "Bacterial small subunit ribosomal RNA", at positions 28 to 507 of the family's 1533-position model. The record is from RNAcentral.
GAUGAACGCGGGCGGCAUGCGUAACACAUGCAAGUCAGACGGGAAGUGGUGUUUCCAGUGGCGGCCGGGUGAGUAACGCGAAAGAACCUUCCCUUGGGGCGGGAACAACACCUGGAAACGGCUGCUAAUACCCCCUAGGCUCAGGAGCAAAAGGAGGAAUCCGGCCGAGGAGGGGCUUGCGUCUGAUUAGCGGGUUGGUGAGGCAAUAGCUUACCAAGGCGACGUGCAGUAGCUGGUCCGAGAGGAUGAUACGCCACACUGGGAAUGAGACACGGCCAGGACUCCUACGGGAGGCAGCAGUGGGGGAUGUCCCGCACUGGGCGAAAGAGUGCCGGAGCACUGCGGCGUGGGCGUAGCCCGGCCCCGUGUGGUGGACUGCUUUGACGGCAGAAGAAGCAAUGACGGUAUCUGGAGAAUACGGAACGGCUACAUCAGUG